RNAcentral lists this ribosomal RNA (450 nucleotides) under uncultured bacterium. Its description in RNAcentral is "partial 16S ribosomal RNA". It matches the Rfam family "Bacterial small subunit ribosomal RNA", at positions 354 to 796 of the family's 1533-position model. The record is from RNAcentral.
GUGGGGAAUAUUGGACAAUGGGCGAAAGCCUGAUCCAGCCAUGCCGCGUGUGUGAAGAAGGUCUUCGGAUUGUAAAGCACUUUAAGUUGGGAGGAAGGGCAGUAAGUUAAUACCUUGCUGUUUUGACGUUACCGACAGAAUAAGCACCGGCUAACUUCGUGCCAGCAGCCGCGGUAAUACGAAGGGUGCAAGCGUUAAUCGGAAUUACUGGGCGUAAAGCGCGCGUAGGUGGUUUUGUAAGUUGGAGGUGAAAUCCCCGGGCUCAACCUGGGAACUGCCUCCAAAACUGCAUGACUAGAGUACGGUAGAGGGUAGUGGAAUUUCCUGUGUAGCGGUGAAAUGCGUAAAUAUAGGAAGGAACACCAGUGGCGAAGGCGACUACCUGGACUGAUACUGACACUGAGGUGCGAAAGCGUAGGGAGCAAACAGGAUUAGAUACCCGAGUAGUCC